UAGAAUGGAAAAUAUAAAUUAGCAGUACAAAACACCUUUCAAAAGUCAACUUUACAUUUUAUUCUUUAUCAGAGAUGUAUGUCAAUGAUAUUAAAACUGGCAUUUGUCAACCAUGUGGUGAACCAAAAAUUAUCAAGGAAACAGUAGCGACAGCAUAUGUUAAUGGAAAUAAUUUGCUUGGCCCAGUGGUUGGAAAUUUUUGCAUGAAAUUAGCUAUUAAAAAAGCAAAGGAAGUUGGAAUUGGAUGGGUAGUAGCUAAAGGAUCAAAUCAUUUUGGUAUCUGUGGAUGGUACAGCAUGUUAGCCAGUAAAGAAGGAUUAGUUGGGAUCUCAUUUACCAACACUUCUCCAAUUAUGGCAACCACACGAGGGAAAAAGUUUCUAGUAUUUAUGACCUGAUCCUGUAUGGUAAUCACAAAUCCUUCCAUCUCCCCAAAGAGACAUCCCCGAGCUAACCAGCUGUUUGACGCAGUUUUGUCAACAAAAUCCUGGCCAGGUCAUAAGGAUGUUUGCCAUGGAAUACCUUAUGAGCCCACGAUUGCUUAAUGGUGUCUAUGCUUUUUAUAUGUUGUGUUGUAUCCGUAUGAUAAAAAUUCUUGCAGUGACUAUAUUUGUUUGUAGUGAAGGUUAACUAUGUCAAUCAGACCAUGUCUGCCAUCUUUAUGUGGAAGGGUUAAUCUUUCUGUGGUGGAUUUAGGAUGAUGUUUAUGCUUAUUA
Molecule: RNA transcript, 716 nt
Organism: Centruroides sculpturatus (bark scorpion)
Lineage: Eukaryota; Metazoa; Arthropoda; Arachnida; Scorpiones; Buthidae
Exons: 5
Source: RefSeq, a predicted model, not a curated record